AAAGAAAUGAAGAGAAAAAUGAAAGAAAAGACAAUGCAGUCUGUUUGCCUGUCUGUCUUUUGGUUCGUCUGAGGAAAAGAAGGAACAAAAACUCUA
This 96-nucleotide non-coding RNA is filed under the name Chromera velia. Lineage: Eukaryota; Chromeraceae. The record is from RNAcentral.